This 76-nucleotide transfer RNA is filed under the name Actinomyces denticolens. RNAcentral's name for it is "tRNA-Arg(acg)". It matches the Rfam family "tRNA". Rfam says of the family: Transfer RNA (tRNA) molecules are approximately 80 nucleotides in length. Their secondary structure includes four short double-helical elements and three loops (D, anti-codon, and T loops). Lineage: Bacteria; Bacillati; Actinomycetota; Actinomycetes; Actinomycetales; Actinomycetaceae. RNAcentral also lists the same sequence under 3 other names. The record is from RNAcentral.
GCGCCAGUAGCUCAACGGAUAGAGCAGCUGACUACGGAUCAGCAGGUUGGGGGUUCGAAUCCCUUCUGGCGCACCA